UAAUACUUUAUUAAAGUGAAUUUUUUUGGA
Molecule: non-coding RNA, 30 nt
Filed under: Mus musculus (house mouse)
Lineage: Eukaryota; Metazoa; Chordata; Mammalia; Rodentia; Muridae
Source: RNAcentral